RNAcentral lists this ribosomal RNA (481 nucleotides) under uncultured bacterium. RNAcentral describes it as "bacterial SSU rRNA". It matches the Rfam family "Bacterial small subunit ribosomal RNA", at positions 28 to 507 of the family's 1533-position model. The record is from RNAcentral.
GAUGAACGCUAGCGGCAGGCUUAACACAUGCAAGUCGAGGGGUAUAGUAGCAAUACUAGAGACCGGCGCACGGGUGCGUAACGCGUAUGCAAUCUACCUUUUACAGAGGGAUAGCCCAGAGAAAUUUGGAUUAAUACCUCAUAGCAUUGCGAAAUGGCAUCAUUUUGCAAUUAAAGUCACAACGGUAAAAGAUGAGCAUGCGUCCCAUUAGCUAGUUGGUAAGGUAACGGCUUACCAAGGCAACGAUGGGUAGGGGUCCUGAGAGGGAGAUCCCCCACACUGGUACUGAGACACGGACCAGACUCCUACGGGAGGCAGCAGUGAGGAAUAUUGGACAAUGGGCGCAAGCCUGAUCCAGCCAUGCCGCGUGAGUGAAGAAGGCCUUCGGGUUGUAAAGCUCUUUUGUCCGGGAGCAAGUCCUACUGGCUAAUAUCUGGUGGGGAUGAGAGUACUGGAAGAAUAAGCACCGGCUAACUACGUG